Molecule: long non-coding RNA, 82 nt
Organism: Maniola jurtina (meadow brown)
Lineage: Eukaryota; Metazoa; Arthropoda; Insecta; Lepidoptera; Nymphalidae
Exons: 3
Source: RefSeq, a predicted model, not a curated record
CUAAAAACACCGAAAAAACCACAGAGGUUUGUCCUCGGUGCCUAGCUGCAACGAAGGUACAUAAGGUAUUAAUUAAUUCAGU